Lontra canadensis (Northern American river otter) is the source of this 419-nucleotide long non-coding RNA. RefSeq lists it as uncharacterized. The transcript has 3 exons. The record is from RefSeq and is a predicted model, not a curated record. NCBI's taxonomy places the organism in Eukaryota, Metazoa, Chordata, Mammalia, Carnivora, Mustelidae.
GCCCUCCUCCCUGAGCCUUACUGUGCAGGACGCGUCUGUUCAUCACAAAAAGGCUCAUUCCGCGUGGCUCUGCAGUGUGGCCUCUUCUUAACCUGAGCAACCCCUUCUCGAAGCUCAAUCCCAGUGGCCCGAGAGCCAAGAAUUCAGAACUGAACUCCACAUCCAGAAGGGCAAAACCAAGUCUUCCCAAGGACGGAAACCAGGUGCCCAGUCACAAACCAGUCAGCCCAGAAGCUCCCCAAACGCAGAACUGGCUCCCUCCCCUCGAAUAGGUUAGUGGGCGCGCUCAGGGUGGCUGGGCUGGUAUGGGUUCCUGUUCUACCAGCAGAACUUCUGCUCUAUGGAGUUUAUGCAAACACCCUGUGGUAGAAGGUCCGAAGGAGGAAGCGUGGUGAGCAGGUCAGGAAGACCACAUGCCU